UAUGGUUAAAUUUUAUAUUCUUGUCUUUAAUUUUUGCUAAUGUGCUUUGUUUAAAUGCCUUUUUGUAUUUUUUUGUUAUAUAUAACGUGGCUCUGUACUAAUGCAUCCAGUCAUUGUGUUAUUGUGCUAUAGUAAAUUUUUGUAUUCCUGUCUUUCGUUUUUGCUAAUGUGCUUUGUCUGUAUGUCGUUUUGUUUUUUUGUGUUACAUAUUUGUUUGUUUUUAUAGUGAUUACGACAAUGUUGACUGCUUUUCAAAUAGAGAAGUGGAUGAUGGUCAUUUUCAUUGAAGUUGCGACUGUCAAUUUAAUCAUUGUUAUUAAUCGUUAGUAUAGGUUAUCAUACCCAAUGUAGUAAUUAAAUCUUUGAAUAUAGUUUACAUUGGCACAAAUGUCGAUUCUGUCAUCAGGAAAUUAAAACAUAUUAACUAAAUUUGUAUUAUUUUCAAACGACAUCCACUUUGAUUUUUGUUCUAUAAAGAUGUUAACUCCUAACUAUCCUA
RNAcentral lists this long non-coding RNA (499 nucleotides) under Mytilus galloprovincialis (Mediterranean mussel). The record is from RNAcentral. Lineage: Eukaryota; Metazoa; Mollusca; Bivalvia; Mytilida; Mytilidae.